This 389-nucleotide ribosomal RNA is filed under the name uncultured microorganism. Its description in RNAcentral is "bacterial SSU rRNA". It matches the Rfam family "Archaeal small subunit ribosomal RNA", at positions 330 to 720 of the family's 1478-position model. The record is from RNAcentral.
GUGCAGCAGUCGCGAAAACUUCACAAUGUGCGAAAGCACGAUGAGGGAAUCCCAAGUGCUUGCACGUAAGUGUAAGCUGUUUCUCUGUCUAAAACGCAGAGAGAGUAAGGGCUGGGUAAGACGGGUGCCAGCCGCCGCGGUAAUACCUGCAGCUCGAGUGGUGACCGUUAUUAUUGGGCCUAAAACGUCCGUAGCCGGUUUAAUAAAUGCCUGGGUAAAUCGGACCGCUUAACGGUUCAAGUUCCGGGUAGACUGUUAAACUUGAGACCGGGAGAAGUUAGAGGUACUCCUGGGGUAGAGGUGAAAUUCUGUAAUCCUAGGGGGACCACCAGUGGCGAAGGCGUCUAACUAGAACGGGUCUGACGGUGAGGGACGAAGCCCUGGGGCGC